UCAGAUUGCAGGCUGCAACCCGCCUGCAUGAAGUCGGAAUUGCUAGUAAUCGCGGAUCAGCAUGCCGCGGUGAAUACGUUCCCGGGCCUUGUACACACCGCCCGUCACACCAUGGGAGCCGGUAAUACCCGAAGUCAGUAGUCCAACCACGUGAGGACGCUGCCGAAGGUAGGAUUGGCGACUGGGGUGAAGUCGUAACAAGGUACC
RNAcentral lists this ribosomal RNA (207 nucleotides) under uncultured bacterium. RNAcentral describes it as "partial 16S ribosomal RNA". It matches the Rfam family "Bacterial small subunit ribosomal RNA", at positions 1293 to 1500 of the family's 1533-position model. The record is from RNAcentral.